GCACCGUCUCGCAGGGAGCCAGGCAGCUUCCGGCCUCUGCGGCGGCGGUGGCCGAGAAGCAGUGAGCGGAGAAGGCCGAGGAAGGGCUGAGGACGGUGAUGUACCUCAGCUGUUGGGGUCCAAAUUAGCAGCUGCAACUUAGUGCUAGCUAGGCGUGUGUGUGUUUGCUGCAACAACCAUGGCCUGAAACCACGAUGUAAAAACUCGGUAUUAGCUGGCUUCCUGUGGAACCCCCCGUCGUAAAAACCACAAUGAUGAUGACAAAUUUCUGUUACUUCAGUUAUCUGUUUGCCUUUUUGUUAUCUUGAUGAGAAAUACGAAUUGAUGCUUUACUUUAGUUUUGGCUAUUCCCUUGUCUUUGAACCCGGCCUUUUGGUCGUAUGUCAUUACAACUCACAAGGACUUCAUUUUUGCCGAUCUACUGAGCGACUGAGUUCAUGGCAAACAUGCUGUAUUUCUUCAGUCUGCAAGCACACAUAAAGGUGUCAUCUGCAGGUGUCGAAGUGACACACAUGAUAAAUUCCCAAUACUGAAGGUGUCAUCAAGCAAUCCGUUUUGUUUCAGUUUUGCUCGUUGACCUGCCUCCAGUUACUUGGUUCGUCCACAUUAAAUACUAGUUAACUGAUCCUUACCAUCGGGAGGGUUUCUGAUCAGAGCUAUAGGAAGAGCCAAAAAGGCAGGUCACGUGUUUUUCUUUCUAACUUUCCUAGGGUCAUGCAGGCAGAUGAAUUGGCUUUUGAACAAGAGGAGUUCCCAUACGUUUUGAGUGCCACGAGUUUUUCUUUUGAACCAUGUUAACCUCUUUCCAUUAAUACAACAAUGUUGGUAUCAGCAUAGUAUCAAUACCACGAGUUUCUCGGAAGUAACCAACAUGUAUUUAUAUUAUUAGUAAUAAACAAUAAUCAAGAUGUUUGCCUGAGGCGCACACAUGGAUGACUCCGGUGUCUCCUCCAUCUGACGUUCACACGAAGCUCACACGGCCCCUGGUAUGGUGGAAACCAUGUCUUCCUGCGUGCGCGUCACCCCUAUCUAAUCUUAUCUCUCUGCCUUGUCUGGUCGUAACGGACAAAACCAAGGCCCAAUGUGCCGGAACGAGAGCGACGGCUGCGGCGCAAGCAAGCAAAAGUGCUCGCCUGGGAGCCGGAGCACCCGGUAUCUAGAAAACCAGGGCCCGCGGCAGCCUGUUUAGCUCGGGCUCUCUUGUAUAUAAUCACGGACCACUACCACUCUUCCUCCCAUCAGCACGGACAAGCAUCCGCUUCAGUGAGACAGUUCAAGAAAUCAACUCCUUUUUUCAGUACCACAACUUCGCAAGUCCAUUAUCACUACACACAAGGAUUCAGUAUCCUUGCCAGCAGCCAAGCAAGGACAAGGAGGAGGAGAAGAGAUGGCUGCUCCGGCGAAGGCUUCGUGGAUGGUGGCCAUGAGCGUGGGCGCGGUGGAGGCGCUCAAGGACCAAGCCGGGCUCUGCCGCUGGAACUACGCACUCGGGUCCAUCCACCGAGCUGCCAAGGCCAACGUCCGCGGUGGUGUCUCGCAGGGCACCAAGCAUCUUCCGGUCUCCGCGCCGACGGUGACGGAGAAGGCCGAGGAGGGGCUGAGGACGGUGAUGUACCUCAGCUGCUGGGGCCCAAAUUAGGAGUAGUAGUAUCUUAGGGGUGUUGUGUUCGUUGCAGCUUGUGCGUAUGUGACAACCCGAUGAUCGAUUGUAAAUACAGCACGAUGAUGAUGAUGAAAAUUUCGGCUAUGAGUUUAUAUCACCCUCCUUGUCCAUGUGCUUCUAUGACUGUCUUUUGAAAGG
RNAcentral lists this long non-coding RNA (1801 nucleotides) under Triticum aestivum (bread wheat). Its description in RNAcentral is "long non-coding RNA (TAES_LNC021503)". The record is from RNAcentral. Lineage: Eukaryota; Viridiplantae; Streptophyta; Magnoliopsida; Poales; Poaceae.